CUCCAUCGGGCCUGCUGACUCUGGAGAGUAUUACUGUACAGCUGAGAACAGGCUGGGAACAUCAACACCUACAAACAUUUCUGUUCAUGUGAAAUAUGCUCCAAAGCCUCCCUCUGUGUCAGUGCGUCCCUCUGGUGAAAUCAAGGAGGGCACUUCAGUGACUCUGACCUGUAGCAGUGAAGCUAACCCAGCAGCUACGUAUGUCUGGUAUAAGACACAUGGAAGGACACCUCUCAGUAAAGAACCACAGCUUGUCUUCAGAUCCAUCCAGCCCUCUGACUCUGGACAGUAUUACUGUAUAGCUGCUAAUACAGUGGGGACGACAUCUGAAUAUAUUUCUAUUAAUGUGAAUUAUGCUCCAAAGUUUCUGUCAGUGAUGGUGAGCCCUCCUAAUGAAUUCAGGGAGGGUGGUUCGGUGACUCUGACCUGUAGCAGUGAUGCUAACCCAGCAGCUCAAUACUCCUGGUACAAGAAGAAUGGUCAAAAACCUCUCAGU
Molecule: long non-coding RNA, 496 nt
Organism: Pelmatolapia mariae (spotted tilapia)
Lineage: Eukaryota; Metazoa; Chordata; Actinopteri; Cichliformes; Cichlidae
Exons: 3
Source: RefSeq, a predicted model, not a curated record